Molecule: ribosomal RNA, 433 nt
Filed under: uncultured bacterium
Lineage: Bacteria
Description: partial 16S ribosomal RNA
Rfam family: Bacterial small subunit ribosomal RNA
Source: RNAcentral
AACGAACGCUGGCGGCAUGCCUAACACAUGCAAGUCGAACGAGACCUUCGUGUCUAGUGGCGCACGAGUGCGUAACGCGUGGGAACCUGCCCUUAGGUUCGGAAUAACCCCCCGAAGGGGGUGCUAAUACCGGAUAAUGUCUUCGGACCAAAGAUUUAUCGCCUUUUGAUGGGCCCGCGUUGGAUUAGCUAGUUGGUAGGGUAAAAGCCUACCAAGGCGACGAUCCAUAGCUGGUCGGAGAGGAUGAUCAGCCACACUGGGACUGAGACACGGCCCAGAAUCCGACGGGAGGCAGCAGUGGGGAAUAUUGGAGACUGGGCGCAAGCCUGAUCCAGCAAUGCCGCGGGAGUGAUGAAGGCCUUAGGGUUGUACAGCUCUUUUACCCGGGAUGAUAAUGACAGUAACGGGAGAAUAAGCUCCGGCUAACUCCGUG